UACAGAGGGUGCAAGCGUUACUCGGAAUUACUGGGCGUAAAGCGUGCGUAGACGGUUAUGUAAGUCGGGUGUGAAAGCCUCGGGCUCAACCUGGGAAUUGCAUUCGAGACUGCAUGGCUAGGGUGCGGAAGAGGGAAGCGGAAUUUCCGGUGUAGCGGUGAAAUGCGUAGAUAUCGGAAGGAACACCAGUGGCGAAAGCGGCUUCCUGGUCCAGCACCGACGUUCAGGCACGAAAGCGUGGGGAGCAAACAGG
RNAcentral lists this ribosomal RNA (253 nucleotides) under uncultured bacterium. Its description in RNAcentral is "partial 16S ribosomal RNA". It matches the Rfam family "Bacterial small subunit ribosomal RNA", at positions 524 to 776 of the family's 1533-position model. The record is from RNAcentral.